UGCACGUGGAAUACUAAGGCCAUCACGAGAGGACAAUAUCGUUCUGCAACGCUUUCCAUCGGGGUUAAUGAUGACAACGCUGUCUGUACCACUACUGGAAACAUAAAGGUUUUCAUUGUUGUCUACAGAUAUACCCUGUCGAUAUUGCAGAUUUUGUGUAUCCUUAAAUUCCCAUUUUAGAUUUCCAUGCAUAUCAUAGCAUGUAACAGAAUUGUUGUCUUUAUUU
This 226-nucleotide long non-coding RNA is filed under the name Mytilus galloprovincialis (Mediterranean mussel). Lineage: Eukaryota; Metazoa; Mollusca; Bivalvia; Mytilida; Mytilidae. The record is from RNAcentral.